RNAcentral lists this ribosomal RNA (253 nucleotides) under uncultured bacterium. RNAcentral describes it as "partial 16S ribosomal RNA". It matches the Rfam family "Bacterial small subunit ribosomal RNA", at positions 524 to 776 of the family's 1533-position model. The record is from RNAcentral.
UACGUAGGUGGCAAGCGUUGUCCGGAUUUACUGGGCGUAAAGGGUGCGUAGGUGGUGGGGUAAGUCGGAUGUGAAAUCUCCGAGCUCAACUCGGAAACUGCAUUGGAAACUACCCUGCUAGAGGGUCGGAGGGGGGACUGGAAUACUUGGUGUAGCAGUGAAAUGCGUAGAUAUCAAGUGGAACACCAGUGGCGAAGGCGAGUCCCUGGACGACUCCUGACACUGAGGCACGAAAGCUAGGGGAGCAAACAGG